Molecule: ribosomal RNA, 589 nt
Filed under: uncultured bacterium
Lineage: Bacteria
Description: partial 16S ribosomal RNA
Rfam family: Bacterial small subunit ribosomal RNA
Source: RNAcentral
UGGGGAAUUUUGGACAAUGGGCGAAAGCCUGAUCCAGCAAUGCCGCGUGUGUGAAGAAGGCCUUCGGGUUGUAAAGCACUUUUGUCCGGAAAGAAAUCCUUGGCUCUAAUACAGUCGGGGGAUGACGGUACCGGAAGAAUAAGCACCGGCUAACUACGUGCCAGCAGCCGCGGUAAUACGUAGGGUGCAAGCGUUAAUCGGAAUUACUGGGCGUAAAGCGUGCGCAGGCGGUUUGCUAAGGCCGAUGUGAAAUCCCCGGGCUCAACCUGGGAACUGCAUUGGUGACUGGCAGGCUAGAGUAUGGCAGAGGGGGGUAGAAUUCCACGUGUAGCAGUGAAAUGCGUAGAGAUGUGGAGGAAUACCGAUGGCGAAGGCAGCCCCCUGGGCCAAUACUGACGCUCAUGCACGAAAAGCGUGGGGAGCAAAACAGGAUUAGAUACCCUGGUAGUCCACGCCCUAAAACGAUGUCAACUAGUUGUUGGGGAUUCAUUUCCUUAGUAACGUAGCUAACGCGUGAAGUUGACCGCCUGGGGAGUACGGUCGCAAGAUUAAAAACUCAAAUGAAUUGACGGGGUCAUAGCUGUUUCCU